Molecule: ribosomal RNA, 262 nt
Filed under: uncultured bacterium
Lineage: Bacteria
Description: partial 16S ribosomal RNA
Source: RNAcentral
CUGCUGCCUCCCGUAGGAGUUUGGGCCGUGUCUCAGUCCCAAUGUGGCCGUUCACCCUCCCAGGCCGGCUACUGAUCGUUGCCUUGGUAGGCCAUUACCCCACCAACUAGCUAAUCAGACGCGGAACCAUCGUAUACCACCAGAGUUUUUCACACCGCUUCAUGCGAAGCUGUGCGCUUAUGCGGUAUUAGCACCUAUUUCUAAGUGUUAUCCCCCAGUAUACGGCAGGUUUUCCACGCGUUACUCACCCGUCCGCCACUAA